ACAAGUCUUCAAACGAGGAAGCAGAGUCGGGGGACCCUAGUGUUUGCUCUCCCAUCUCUGGGGCCGAGGUUGCUGAGGUGGUUAAAAUGCU
Molecule: long non-coding RNA, 91 nt
Organism: Melanotaenia boesemani (Boeseman's rainbowfish)
Lineage: Eukaryota; Metazoa; Chordata; Actinopteri; Atheriniformes; Melanotaeniidae
Exons: 3
Source: RefSeq, a predicted model, not a curated record